AUGCUGGCUCACCCGGGCGGGGUCGGGGUGGUCCGAGCUUCGGUGGCCAGGGAGCCCCUCUUCACCUUCGGCGUCAUCGCCGACGUCCAGUACGCCGACAUACCGGACGGCCGCUCCUUCCUCGGCGUGCCUCGGUACUAUCGCCACAGCAUCACCGUGCUCCAGAGGGCGGUCCGCAGCUGGAACAGCCACAAGGCCGGCGUCAAGUUCUGCGUCAACUUCGGCGACAUCGUCGACGGGUUCUGCCCCAAGGACCGGUCGCUUUCAGCCGUGCAGGCCGUCGUGGCAGAGUUCGACCGGUUCCACGGCGGCCCGGCGUACCACAUGCUCGGCAACCACUGCCUGUACAACCUCCCAAGGAGCGAGCUGGUGUCCGUGCUGCGGAUGCCUGGGCGCGCCUACUACGACUUCUCGCCGUGGCCGGGGUACAGGUUCGUGGUCCUGGACGCGUACGACUUCAGUGCCGUCGGCUGGCCGCGCGACCACCCUGUGGCGGCGGCGGCCAGGAGGUUCCUGGAGGAGAGGAACCCGAACUCGGAUAAAAACAGCCCGACCGGGCUGGCAGGGGAGGACCGGCGGUUCGUGAUGUUCAACGGCGGCGUGGGCGAGGAGCAGCUUCGGUGGCUGGACGGCGUCCUGCGGGACGCGUCGCGGCGCGGGGAGACCGUGGUGGUGUGCAGCCACCUGCCGCUCCACCCCGGUGCGGCGUCCCCCGCGGGGCUUAUGUGGAACUACGAGGAGGCGCUGGCAGUGGUGCACCGGCACGGAUGCGUCGCGGCGUGCCUCGCGGGGCACGACCACAAGGGCGGGUACGCCGUGGACGCGUGCGGCGUGCACCACCGCACCCUGGAGGCCGCGCUCGAGUGCCCGCCAGGCACCGACGCGUUUGGCCACGUCGAUGUGUUCCCCGGCAGGCUGUCGCUCGCCGGAUCCGGCAGGAUGGCGAGCACCGACAUGCUGCUCACCCUCCCUCGGCUGAGCUAG
This 984-nucleotide ribosomal RNA is filed under the name Triticum aestivum (bread wheat). RNAcentral's name for it is "partial small subunit ribosomal RNA". Lineage: Eukaryota; Viridiplantae; Streptophyta; Magnoliopsida; Poales; Poaceae. The record is from RNAcentral.